This 3302-nucleotide unclassified non-coding RNA is filed under the name Pomacea canaliculata. Its description in RNAcentral is "uncharacterized LOC112568144, transcript variant X1". The record is from RNAcentral. Lineage: Eukaryota; Metazoa; Mollusca; Gastropoda; Architaenioglossa; Ampullariidae.
ACGGAAACGCAUAAUGACUGGCUGCAUAUUGGCCGAACGUUCGCAUCCUGUGAUAAUAUUCCAGUUAUAACAUCAUUGACAGCUGAGUACAACAACUAGACCUUAGUGAGAACUUCGCCAUGAACACUUCUAAGAUUUCCUGUGCAUUUUGGAUUCUUUUCACGCUGCUGAAAGGAGCGCUGUUGAUGACAUACCCACCCAAUGUCAAGAGUCUCACUGUGGACGGGGGCGAUAAUGUCAUCAUCGAUGAGGGCCAGGUGGUCAGUGUCUCCUGCUUCUUUGAGAAGGGCAAUCCCCCAGCUCACUUCUAUUUGCUGGAUAAACAUGGAACGAAGCUGAAUUCCUCUAGUUCUGAAGGACACCUUAGGUCCUCUCUUACUGCGCGGUGUGAAGAUGACUGGCCAGUCGUCAGGUGUGAAGGCAACGGGUCACAACAUAAUAGAUCCGUGAUACUACUCGUCAAGUGUCGUCCUCAGUUUAUUGACAAGUCAACAAAAGUUGUUAAUCCUGCUCUUGACACCGUAACAUUUGGUGUCAAGUCUCACACCACAGCAGUCAAAGGAUGCCUCUUGACAUCAGUUUCUAUAAAACAUUACACCGAGAGGGAAGUGAACUGCACUCUCACUGGUCAUCCACCUGACCUCAUCCUGAGUCUUCAGCUUCAGAAGGAAGAGGACAGUUUAUGUAGAAUGUGGACCUUGACUCUCAGCAAUGACUGGGGUUCUUCCAACCCAAUCUUUUUUGUCAGAGAUAGAUCAACGCAAGAGCCAUCGCCAUCUUCAGGGAAAACAAUAAACAUUGAGCUUGCAUACGCCAUUGUGGUGACUGUUGUUUUGAUUCUUGUUGUUGGUACUAUUACCAUUAAAAAGGUCAAAGAGAGAAGAUCUGGCCUACAGAUGGGAGCAGAGAUCGGUACGAAAGUGUAAGAGGAAACUUACCAAAGCUAUAAGCGUAUUUACGAUAGUCUAUAAGUCACUGCAUGGUAUGAGCACCGACAGACAUACUGGAUGUGUGUACGCGUCCAUGGUAUGAGAAACGAAAUAAACUAACGGCAGCAUUCCUUGGAGACACCACUCUAUAGUGUGAUGUUGAUGGGCUGACCUUCUCAGACCUAGUCAAACAAGCACGUGUGAGGCUGGACAGAUGAAUGGAUUGCCCAGACCAGUGGUCGUUUUUACUGAUGUUUUGUUGUAAUGAACAGUUUGUACUAGAGUGAAGAGUGUCUCACUGUUGGAGGUCUGACGGUUAAAAGUACUUUUUGAAUAGGGAAGAAACUGUUAUAUAAAUGUAAAGUCUGGUUCUUUCUUAUCUGUACUCUCUUUCUAUGUAUACUUCUCUCUGCAUGUUAAAGAAUAAACUACCGGGACAUCUGAUGUAGGAGCAAGCAGAAAACAAAUUGAAAAAGAAUGUGAAUUGUAUGAUAUAGAGAAAGGUGAUGAAAGACUGAUACCAAAGCAUGAAAAUAUUCAACAUUUACAUUACUUGCAUUGUGUAAAGAGUAAAAGAACGACAAAACGAUGAAGUAGCUUAAACCAAGACAUGUAAAAAGACAGUAAGAAUGUUUUGACUCUAGGGUCAAAAAGCUUUAUGAAGAACUGGCUUUCUUUUAAAAAGAGAUAAAAGCUUGGUCUGUGUACUUAUGCAGUGAAAUUUUCAUCAUAAACUUUGGUAAAGAGUCUGCUUCGCUGCACAAAUGAUGAUGACGAUGAUGAUGAUGAUGGAGUUUUAUAACGCGCAAUUUCCGUAUCACAAAGAUACGCUCAAUGCGCAGAAACAAAUUCAACUAUAUGGCACUUAGGUAAUGGACAUUUACAAAACUGUCAUUGGGAGAUAUGCAUAGAUUAUUUUAACACACACACAUACUGAUAUGAUGGUGUGUGGAAUUUACCUUACAUGUGGAUUUUUAGUAUAGAAUUUAUUGUAUCGGUCUUGUGUGUUUAUAUGUGUGUUUGCCUCUGUAUUACCCCUAUGUAUUUGUUUAACAGGGGAAUAACAUGAUGUUCUACUCGAUGUAGUUGUGGUUUCAUUUUACACAGUGUGUGUGGAUUCAAAGUGUUUUCCAUUGUUAAAGUAGUAUAGAGGAAAAAGAGUAUUCAUUUACUCUGACACUGCCUAGUAUAGGAAUCACAGUUUUUUUCAGACAUUAUUCAAACUUCAUAGCAAAAUUUCAUUUCGAGAUUGUAUUUUUUGACUGGCUUUUAUUUCAAAGGAAGCAGAUAAGCAUUCUUAUUAUGCACUAAUUUUAAGAAGAAAUAUCUGCAAAAUGUACAUCUUGGCUUAUCUCCCUUCACUUGUAUGGCAUAAUACUGCUGUACCUACUGUUUAUCAACCAGUCUCUCUUUUCAUUCAGAAUGUGAUGUCCCCAUGUUUACAUCACUGUCACAUACAAAACCACAUUCAAAACAAUCAGAGUAAGCUGACAGUAGACAAAGUAAAUAUUCAUGGGCUAAAUUAUUCGAAGGCCUAGUAUUUUUAUAAACAAAGGAUGCACCAUUUAGAUGUCAGAAUGGAGAACAUGAAGUCUCUCCAUGGAUUCCAGCGAACGCCUAAUACACAUGAGAUGUUACGCAACAUUACAAAUCUUUUAAAAAGACUUUUAAAAGGAUGUACCUUUGUAUAAUUUACUAUUUUUAAGUCUUAGUAUAUAACAACAAUAAUUGACAUUUUUUUCUCAAACUUCUAUGAUCUUUAUCAAUCGCUUUCUGUAUAGAAUUCUGAGUUGAGUAUAUAAAUAAUAUAGCGACUUCUUACAAUAGUCCUUUCUGUUGUGUUAUAUCUGAAUACAGUUGAGUUUAAAGCAUCAUGCAUUUCUGUGAUUCUGUGAUCUAUGAUGGAUUUUCUUUCCAAAAUACUGUACUCUACAAUUAUAAAAGUGCAUUUGUAUAGACCGCUUCCCCAUAAAAAGAUAACACAUUGUACAUGAAGGUGAAGCCAGUCUAAUAAACAAAAAACGAAUUAUGCUAUAAUAAAAUACAAUGUACAUACUAGCAGUCGAUAAGUUUAUGCAUUUUCUAAAGUCACGAUAUAUUGUGGAGCAGUAUCCUGGCUUCUAGUUAUAGCACACAAACACCUUUUGGGAAAUAGUAGCUUCAAUUUAGUCAUGUGUUUGGUUAAAUGAUAGUGCUAUUUGUAAUGAAACUUCAACGUCUUAUAUUGUAUUAAACACAUUGUCAUAUUUGCUAGUUCUUUUAUCUUAUGUGUUUACUUUUAUAUUUGUAUGUUGUUGAAAUAUCGAAUUAUUAACAUGUAUGGGUGUGUGGGUUGUACUUGUCAGUAGUGUGAAAUAAAAAAAUACAAAGUUA